Molecule: long non-coding RNA, 975 nt
Filed under: Anas platyrhynchos platyrhynchos (common mallard)
Lineage: Eukaryota; Metazoa; Chordata; Aves; Anseriformes; Anatidae
Description: lncRNA (ENSAPLG00000029713.1)
Source: RNAcentral
AGGUACUGGGAUGUUACUGGGGUGAUACUGGUGGUUACUGGGAGUUACUGGGAGCUACUGGGAUGUAUCAAAGGAGCACUUGGGGGGCGGGGGGAGCUCCUGAGAGGCACCGGGAGCUCCUGGGGGGGCACUGGGGUGAUACUGGGAGUUACUGGGGUCAUACUGGGAGUUACUGGGAUGUUACUGGGCGGGUUACUGGUGGUUACUGGUGGUUACUGGUCGUUACUGGGCACCCACCAUGGCUCGGGUGAGGCACUGCCUCCAGCGGCAUUUCUGCCUGCGGCGGUUGCGGCCCCCGAAGCGGGGUUUGUCCCGGCAGAAGUCGCAGCGCCCGCAGUCGGCGGCUCGCAGGCAGGGGGGGCACGACCCGCAGCGACGGCCACGCUGGGGGUAUAGGGUCAUGGGGUCACUUAUAGGGUCACUUAUAGGGUCAGUUAUAGGGGCAGGGGGUUAUGGGGUCACUUAUAGGGUCACGGGGUCAGUUAUAGGGUCAGGGGGUCACUUAUAGGGUCAGGGGGUUACUUAUAGGGUCACGGGGUCACUUAUAGGGUCAGUAAUGGGGUCAGUUAUAGGGGCAGGGGGGGCACAACCCGCAGCGACGGCCCCGCUGCGGUUAUAGGGGCAGGGGUCACUUAUAGGGUCAGUUAUAGGGUCAGUUAUGGGGUCAGGGGGUUAUGGGGUCACUUAUAGGGUCAGGGGGUCAGAUAUAGGGUCAGGGGGUUAUGGGGGGCACAACCCGCAGCGGCACCCACGCUGGGUUAUAGGGGCAGGGGUCACUUAUAGGGUCACGGGGUCAGUUAUAGGGUAAUGGGGUCACUUAUAGGGUCAUGGGGUCAGAUAUAGGGUCAGGGGUCACUUAUAGGGUCAGGGGGUUAUGGGGUCAGUUAUAGGGUUAUGGGGGGCACGACCCGCAGCGGCGCCCACGCUGGGGGUUAUAGGGGCAGGGGUCAGUUAUAGGGUCAGUUAUAGGGUCAC